UGAUCUCUAUUCGCCUGCCAUCAGGAUCAGGCGUUCGUGCGAUGGCUCCGGGAAAUCCUUCAUAGAAUGCUGGCCAACCACAACCUGAGUUGAAUUUAGUAGAUGACUUGUACAAUGGAGUCCCGCAUCCAGCACAUUCAUAAACACCCUCAGCGAAGAGCUUGUCAUAUUCACCUGUUCCAGGAUACUCCGUGCCCUUGAGGCGGAGGAUGCGGAACUGCUCCG
This 225-nucleotide unclassified non-coding RNA is filed under the name Hevea brasiliensis (rubber tree). Lineage: Eukaryota; Viridiplantae; Streptophyta; Magnoliopsida; Malpighiales; Euphorbiaceae. The record is from RNAcentral.